This 357-nucleotide ribosomal RNA is filed under the name Ditylum brightwellii. RNAcentral's name for it is "partial Bacterial small subunit ribosomal RNA". It matches the Rfam family "Bacterial small subunit ribosomal RNA", at positions 91 to 449 of the family's 1533-position model. Lineage: Eukaryota; Bacillariophyta; Thalassiosirophyceae; Lithodesmiales; Lithodesmiaceae. The record is from RNAcentral.
AUCAGUGGCGAACGGGUGAGUAACACGUGAGCAACCUGCCCCUGGCUCUGGGAUAACUCCGGGAAACCGGUGCUAAUACUGGAUAUGACACCUUCCUGCAUGGGUUGGUGUGGAAAGAUUUAUCGGUGGUGGAUGGACUCGCGGCCUAUCAGCUUGUUGGUGGGGUAAUGGCCUACCAAGGCGACGAUCUAUAGCUGGUCUGAGAGGAUGAUCAGCCACACUGGGACUGAGACACGGCCCAGACUCCUACGGGAGGCAGCAGUGGGGAAUAUUGGACAAUGGGCGCAAGCCUGAUCCAGCCAUGCCGCGUGUGUGAAGAAGGCCUUUUGGUUGUAAAGCACUUUAAGCGAGGAGGAG